UGAUAUUUUAUAGUUACAAAAUCAAUAUUUGAGAAAUUUCAAUUCAAUACUCGCAUCAAUUCUCGAAAUAAAAUAAAGACUAUUAAAAAUAUGAGUGAUUAAAGUAUUUGUAUACGUUCGAAGCUUCGUUCUCCUACAUUUAUCUACAGCAAAGAACCACUUAACAUAUCUAUUCUGGAUUAGCUCUAAUACCAAUGACCAACUGCGUAACAAAUGGUGAACAAAAGUUAAAAAGUGACGUUUGCUGUUGUGGGCAACAAUCCACUUUAAAACACACACACACAUCUUCUAGGGAUUCCCUCAAGUCUCUAAAUCAAAACACAUCAACAAGAGCUGAGGUGAAAAUCAGAUAAAGAUAACCAAGAGCAGUGGCGCUAACAGGAUCAUAAAUUUAACGAUAUAAAUCUUCGAGGACAAGUAACAACAACAAGAAGAAAAAAGACGCUGACGACUCACUUCAUCAUAAAUUCACCUGUCGUUGCGAGUUCAUCCAGGACCGGACCUGCUUCCGUUGCCUAACCUUUUGCCUUGUGUCCUGUCCUGUUUGGUUGAAUGGUGGGAAAAGCGUUUGAAAAUUUAUGAAUUUCGGUUGUGUGGCAAGUGCGCGAAUAUUUCGUGGAAUUCUCUUUUAACCCAGCCCUAGUGCAGGGGCAAAGGCAAAGGCAAAGGCAUGGACAUGGACAGGGGCGUGGCAUCGCAUGGCUGGCGCGUCACUCGAAUUGAAAUUUCAUUAGUUUUACGAUACGCGACCAUAAAGAAAUAUCAACGAGGAUGGGCACGCACCUUAACGUCACAGACAGGGACUUGGACAUUGCCGUUGCUGUUGCCGUUUUACGACCCUUCGCUGGAAGGCCGCAGCGUCAGCAAAGAUAUUCGUAUAGAGAGAG
Drosophila sulfurigaster albostrigata is the source of this 887-nucleotide long non-coding RNA. RefSeq lists it as uncharacterized. NCBI's taxonomy places the organism in Eukaryota, Metazoa, Arthropoda, Insecta, Diptera, Drosophilidae. The record is from RefSeq and is a predicted model, not a curated record. The transcript has 3 exons.